GGAAAACUUACCAGGUCCGGACAUAGUGAGGAUUGACAGAUUGAAGAUCUUUCUUGAUUCUAUGGGUGGUGCAUGGCCGUUCUUAGUUGGUGGAGUGAUUUGUCUGGUUAAUUCCGUUAACGAACGAGACCUCGACCUACUAAAUAGUUCGACAAAUUCUUCGGGAUUUGUGCAAACUUCUUAGAGGGACUAUCGGUGGUUAGCCGAUGGAAGUUCGAGGCAAUAA
This 226-nucleotide ribosomal RNA is filed under the name uncultured eukaryote. Its description in RNAcentral is "partial 18S ribosomal RNA". It matches the Rfam family "Eukaryotic small subunit ribosomal RNA", at positions 1208 to 1456 of the family's 1831-position model. The record is from RNAcentral.